This 253-nucleotide ribosomal RNA is filed under the name uncultured bacterium. RNAcentral describes it as "partial 16S ribosomal RNA". It matches the Rfam family "Bacterial small subunit ribosomal RNA", at positions 524 to 776 of the family's 1533-position model. The record is from RNAcentral.
UACGGGGGGGGCAAGCGUUGUUCGGAAUUACUGGGCGUAAAGGGCUCGUAGGCGGCCAACUAAGUCAGACGUGAAAUCCCCAGGCUUAACCUGGGAACUGCGUCUGAUACUGGAUGGCUUGAAUUCGGGAGAGGGAUGCAGAAUUCCAGGUGUAGCGGUGAAAUGCGUAGAGAUCAGGAGGAACACCCGUGGCGAAGGCGGCCCUCUGGCUCGACCCUGACGCUGAGAGGCGAAAGCGUGGGGAGCGAACGGG